RNAcentral lists this ribosomal RNA (497 nucleotides) under uncultured bacterium. Its description in RNAcentral is "partial 16S ribosomal RNA". It matches the Rfam family "Bacterial small subunit ribosomal RNA", at positions 28 to 507 of the family's 1533-position model. The record is from RNAcentral.
GAUGAACGCUGGCGGCGUGCCUAAUACAUGCAAGUCGAGCGAACAGACGAGGAUCUUGCUCCUGUGACGUGAGCGGCGGACGGGUGAGUAACACGUGGAUAACCUACCUAUAAGACUGGGAUAACGUCGGGAAACCGGAUCUAAUACCGGAUAAUAUAUUGAACCGCAUGGUUCAAUAGUGAAAGACGGUUUUGCUGUCACUUAUAGAUGGAUCCGCGCCGCAUUAGCUAGUUGGUAAGGUAACGGCUUACCAAGGCAACGAUGCGUAGCCGACCUGAGAGGGUGAUCGGCCACACUGGAACUGAGACACGGUCCAGACUCCUACGGGAGGCAGCAGUAGGGAAUUUUGCGCAAAGGGCGAAAGCCUGACGGAGCAACGCCGCGUGAGUGAUGAAGGUCUUCGGAUCGUAAAACUCUGUUAUUAGGGAAGAACAAAUGUGUAAGUAACUAUGCACGUCUUGACGGUACCUAAUCAGAAAGCCACGGCUAACUACGUG